RNAcentral lists this ribosomal RNA (551 nucleotides) under Sporobolomyces sp. MAR19. RNAcentral describes it as "eukaryotic LSU rRNA". The stretch from base 146 to 299 matches the Rfam family "5.8S ribosomal RNA". The record is from RNAcentral. RNAcentral also lists the same sequence under 1 other name. Lineage: Eukaryota; Fungi; Basidiomycota; Microbotryomycetes; Sporidiobolales; Sporidiobolaceae.
AUACUAGGACGUUCAAUUUAACUUGAAGUCCGAACUCUCACUUUCUAACCCUGUGCAUUUGUUUUGGUUAGUAGAGCGCUUGCGUUCGAACACCUCUUCAUUUACAAACACCAGUCUAUGAAUGUAUAAAAUCAUAACAAAACAAAACUUUCAACAACGGAUCUCUUGGCUCUCGCAUCGAUGAAGAACGCAGCGAAAUGUGAUAAGUAAUGUGAAUUGCAGAAUUCAGUGAAUCAUCGAAUCUUUGAACGCAUCUUGCACUCUUUGGUAUUCCGAAGAGUAUGUCUGUUUGAGUGUCAUGAAUUCUUCAACCCUCCCUUUUCUUAGUGAAUCGAGAGGUGUUUGGAUUCUGAGUGUUGCUCCUUACCCGAGCUCAUUCGUAAUGCAUUAGCAUCCAUAUUCGAAUUUCGGAUUGACUUGGCGUAAUAGACUAUUCGCUGAGGAAUCUAACUUCGGUUAGAGCCGUGUUUGAACUAGGAAGCUUCUAAUCUAGCUUAGUCUACUUUUAGAUUAGACCUCAAAUCAGGCAGGAUUACCCGCUGAACUUAAGC